GACGAACGCUGGCGGCGUGCCUAAUACAUGCAAGUAGAACGCACAGUUUAUACCGUAGCUUGCUACACCAUAAACUGUGAGUUGCGAACGGGUGAGUAACGCGUAGGUAACCUGCCUGGUAGCGGGGGAUAACUAUUGGAAACGAUAGCUAAUACCGCAUAAUAUUAAUUAUUGCAUGAUAAUUGAUUGAAAGAUGCAAUUGCAUCACUACCAGAUGGACCUGCGUUGUAUUAGCUAGUAGGUGAGGUAACGGCUCACCUAGGCGACGAUACAUAGCCGACCUGAGAGGGUGAUCGGCCACACUGGGACUGAGACACGGCCCAGACUCCUACGGGAGGCAGCAGUAGGGAAUCUUCGGCAAUGGACGAAAGUCUGACCGAGCAACGCCGCGUGAGUGAAGAAGGGUUUCGGAUCGUAAAGCCCUGUUGUAAGAGAAGAACGGGUGUGAGAGUGGAAAGUUCACACUGUGACGGUAUCUUACCAGAAAGGGACGGCUAACUACGUG
RNAcentral lists this ribosomal RNA (505 nucleotides) under uncultured bacterium. Its description in RNAcentral is "partial 16S ribosomal RNA". It matches the Rfam family "Bacterial small subunit ribosomal RNA", at positions 28 to 507 of the family's 1533-position model. The record is from RNAcentral.